RNAcentral lists this long non-coding RNA (1979 nucleotides) under Salvator merianae (Argentine black and white tegu). RNAcentral describes it as "lncRNA (ENSSMRG00000009155.1)". Lineage: Eukaryota; Metazoa; Chordata; Lepidosauria; Squamata; Teiidae. The record is from RNAcentral.
UUUUCGAGGAGCGUUAUUGGCAGCCGCUGGGAAAGCAUUCGCUCAAACCAGGGGGACAGGCCGACUUCCCAAAUUGGAUUAACGCCUUCCUUUCCAGCUUCCCUUGGCAGAAGCAGAAAUNGCGGGCUCUUGAGGAAAGAAGUGCCCUGGCAUCCCCACCUGCCUCCAUCCAGAUAAUCCUGCUGGAGGCCANAGCUUUCCCAUGGCUUCAACUCCAUCCGGCCUUGGAGAGGCUAGAAGCAGGCCGAUCCCAAAUGCCCUCAGCAGAAGGGGGACCAAUCCUGGCGCCAGCACGUCUUUUUAAACCGGCUUUCGCCACGCUCGGGCUUCAGUUCCCAUCUGCCCCGGGCAACGCAGCCGUGGCGGCAGCUGGAGUUCCACACGUCCGGGGACUGUCAGGCGGUUGAAACACUAAGUGCUUGGGCACGUGGCAGACACGUCUCACGGGCGCGGCUUCUGUCGACGUGCCGUGGCUCGGCUGGUCAGAAAAGGCGCAAGGGAUCCUCACUCAGCCACGGAAGCAGCACUGGCACACCGCUCGCGUUAACCUACCUCACGGGUCGCUAUGCGGAGGAAACGGGAGAGGAGAAACCACGAAGGCAGGUGUUCCUCACACGUGAAGAUACGGGCAGGUUGCUUGCGUCGGGAGAACAGUGGGAUUAGCCAGUGCUUUCACGUCAUCCGGUUGCUGGCACUAAUGUUCCUGUUUCUGCAGAUUUUUGAGACGCAUCCUUAUUGUGAGAAGUAGCCCUGCAGAACUUCUUAAUCCUCCAGCAGCAGGAAGUUAAGGAAAUGGGGAAGUGAUACAAGGCUAUCGCUUGCAGCGCUUGACCUGAAAGAGAGGCAUUGUCUGGGACUUCUGCAAACGCCGAGCUCCNUCUUUCUGCGCAGAGGUUACACUGUGACAAGGUACAGGUGCGGCUUUAGGAUCUCCCGCAACAUUGACCUUUCAGGGCUGAAGCUCUGCUGAAUGGUGCAACAGAGCUUAUGUCUGCUCCAGAGGUGUUCAACAAGGGACGUGUCAGGAAGCAUCCAAGCACCCAGCCAGCGGCAGCCGGCAGCUUUAAGCCUUGGUGUUCGCACCCUGUGUGAAGCACGCCAUGGCCAUUCGCAGGGCGUCUGUACUGCCUCAGCGGGGCGCGAACACCAAGGCUUANAGCCGCCGCCUGCCACUGCACCCAGCUGCAACGUGGGCUGGAUCACCACAUACCUGGCUUGAGGGCUGAGGGCCCUCAGUCCAGAUUUGGCAAAAAUCCCUCGCCCGCCUUUCCUGACUGCUGAAUCUAAAGCACUCUGAUACCAGAACAGCGCCCUGAAAAACCUCUUUACCCUGUCCUUAUCUCCGUGACCUCUCCCAUCCCCGGAAAUGGCAGGUAAAAUCCAAUCUCUCUCUUCAUCCUCACCACCAUCAGUGCCUCCAGGAUCCCCUCAAAAGUUCUGGGCAAAAGUCCAUCUUUUAUGACGUGAGACAAGGAAAACGGGGGCCCAGAUAUGCCGCCGAGCCCUUUGGGGACCAAGCCUGGAGGGCUUUUCUUAUUCAACACGCAGGGGAUGAACAGGGUUACCUCGUAGCCCGCUGCCAUGCCACAAGGCCAGGCCACAGACCUUUUCAUCGCAGAUGGGCGACAGAGUCGCGGAAGCGCCCCGCUGCUUGGUGAUUCGGCCCAGACAGCUCCGUUCAAGUUGCCUCUGACAACGGCAGAUAAAUGCUCCUCUUGAACCCGGUAGCCCCCAUCUUGUUUCAGCAGAUUGGCCUCUUUUGGCAUCGAGCACACGGCGGAUCCGACAACUUGCCGUUUGGUUUUUUUUUUUAAAUGAAAACUGUGUGUGCUUUUGUAAGACAUUCCCUUUUUCACUCUUGUAUAAUAGAAAUUUUCUAUACAUUGUUUCUGUAUGUACUGUACAUGUAACUUAUUCUCAAAUAGCANUAGGACAUAGAUUUGCCCCCGAAGUAAAUAAACUGUUUUUAGAACUUUUCA